RNAcentral lists this long non-coding RNA (1646 nucleotides) under Gallus gallus (chicken). RNAcentral describes it as "long non-coding RNA NONGGAT004102". The record is from RNAcentral. Lineage: Eukaryota; Metazoa; Chordata; Aves; Galliformes; Phasianidae.
CCUAAAAAUAUGCAGAGGAGGGAAAGCUUCUAAAGCAGUUUUUCCUGCAAUAAAAAAUGCAUAUUCUAUGGACACAGGAGUAAAUUGGCUAAGUUUGGUGCCAACUGGAGUGAUGUUCUGAUCGCAUUUGGGUAGGAAGAUAGAAAGAAAUGCUGCACGUGAUCGAUGCAUCUUCUUCCUACUUCCAUCCCUCUUUACAAAGCACUGGGGUUUUUCCGUUUUGUUUUAGGUUAGGGAAAAGGAACUACGCAGGACACCACAACACACUGCAUCUUAUCCAGCAACGGACCACCAAACUACAGAGAGCAGAGAACCAGAGUUUGGAAAGGCAUUGUAACCAUACAGAAAGGCACAUAAGGAAGAGUAUGCAAGGAAGAAAAAAAGCUUGAACAGCUGCAAGAUUUGGGGUAGUAAAACACAGCGGAGACCUAAACAUAAGAACAAAGAGUUUUAACUUACUGUGCAGGCAGAGAUGUGAGAGCUUCAAACAUUAAGGGAACAACAGGCCACAGGAAUGUCAUUGUAUACAGAGCAAGGACAAAUACUGAAACUGCAGUGGAGAAAACAACUAAUUGGUUGAGAUAUGCAAAGCACAGGUGAGUUAUCCAUGUGGCCAGAAGUAACAUGAUUGGUCUCCAUGGGAAGGAGAGGACUGUUUCCAUAACACAGCAAUGAAUUUGGAAUGAACCCAUUCCCUACCUCCUAUACACACGCAACAUCUAAUACAUCCAGCUCCUCCAAAACCAGUGCGUAACAGCAAUGGUUGCACUUGUGCUUUGCCUGUUACCAGCCCUACCAUCCCCUUCUGGCUCAUCUCUAAAUAUGCCUAAUCCUUACUUCCAUACCACACUCACACCCACCUCCUGUGCUGGCUUUUUUAAUUCCGUACCUCCAACUCCUGAUGACGCAUUCUUCCUUUCUGCCUUCCAAGCCAAGGAAAUUCUGUUCUGGUACUGGACCACUGCUCUCUUCGCCAGGUACUAUAGAAAAGAGAAAAAUGUAGCCUUUAUUUGUACAGUCUCGUUGUGGUUCUCCCUAUUACUCUCGGGAAAUUAAAUAAAUAAACAAAUAAUACUUGCACUAAAACAUCAAAGGUAGGAACAAGAUCUCAUCUCACUACUCAAGCAGCUGGGAUCCCACUUGAGCAGCUGAGUGAGUAAGCUCAUCAGGAAGAGACCAAUGCUUCAGGCCUGGCCAUGUUGGUUUUUAAGAAAAAAAAAAUGGGACACAGUAGCAAAUGGAAAAGCAAAACUGAAAAUUACCCUGUGUUGCCUGGUAAGAACUGUAAAAAUACCGAAGAAAAAGAGAAACAAACUUAGGAAAAAGAAGAACUUUGGUCAGCUGGCUUGAAGUCGUCCAACAGUCUGACAGACGGGAAGCAGGAGAUUGAGGAUGUGUUUUCACCAUGCAGUUAACCAAUGUUGUUCAUCGAAUUUUCUCUCAGAUUCUUUAAGCUAAGGCUGCCUAGCCAGGCCUGGAAUAAAAACGUGUGUCUGUGUGUACAUAUAUCAGACUGUUCUACUGAGCUGAUUAGCCUCCUUUUUAAUGAAGGCAAAGAUACUGAAGCACUAGUAGUUGCCCGAAGCCUUCCUGUGGUUUCAGAAGGACGGGACAAACACCCAAUGUCCUUUCUUCCACUAUUUCCC